Sciurus carolinensis (gray squirrel) is the source of this 1178-nucleotide long non-coding RNA. RefSeq lists it as uncharacterized. NCBI's taxonomy places the organism in Eukaryota, Metazoa, Chordata, Mammalia, Rodentia, Sciuridae. The transcript has 4 exons. The record is from RefSeq and is a predicted model, not a curated record.
UUUCUCCUUCUCAGCUCUCUAUGCAACUAGGAGAUGUUUGUCUGCGAACCAGGAAGACAGCCCUCACCCAAACUCAACGAUGCAGGCACCCUGAUCUUGAAAUUCCUGCCUUCAGGAGAAUGCAUAUUUUGCUGUUUAAGUCACCCAGUCUAUAGUAUUUUGUUACAGUAACCUGAGCCAAGACACUGUAACUUUCUGGGUGCUACUUUUAGAGGUCAGCGAACAACCUCAGUGGGAAACAGGAUUCCUUCUUCUUCCAAGGCAUCUUUGAUUCCUGUUUACUUCGAACUUUAUUUGGAUUGUGCACACCCACCAUGGUGCCUAUUUUUCUGUGCUCCUGGACAAUCCUCAUGAAAUUGCACACUUUGGAGGUCCCUCUGUCUCCUUGCUCACCUGAGUCGUUAAAGCUUGGAAACUUCUGACACAAAAAGGAAGAGAAAAUACCAGAAGGACAUCAGGAGACUCUAAACGUCCAAACACAUACAUGUACUCAGCAGAUUACUACGAAUAUUCCUAAUGAAACAGGCUGCCAAGAAAUGAAAACAGGACAAACCUAAAAUAGAGACUCUGAAAGCACAAGUGGACACACAAUUUCAUGGAAAACCUUUUAAGUUCAAUUCCUGACUCGGAAAAAGAAACAAACCCCUCAUGCAGAAACCUUGUUCUGUGACAGGAAGCACUUGGUGCAUGUUUAUGUAACACUGGAAUCUUCUAAGCACAUGAGGACAUGCACGUCGGCGUGUUGGGUUCCGCUGUAUCAUCUGAACAGCCUGCAACAUCCACUUGCAAAUAAGAAGAAAGCUCAGCCUUCAUUCCCAGGGGUUUCCUGAGGUCACGCAGGCAGCGUCUCCCACAGCCAUUGGUGAGACGAGAAGUCAGACGCUCUCAGCGGACCCGUGGCAAAGAAACCUAUUUAUCCUGUUAGCCAGCACGACUGCACACAUUUGACGAUACGGUGUUACCUUCUAAAACCCCUGUUACGUCCUCUAAACCAGAGUCCCAGGGUACAUAUAGUGGGACUUGCUGUGUCACUUACCAAAAACCAUCCAUCCGGCUUUGCGCACUUAAGAUCCUAACAUGAUGUUAAAGGUCUCAUUGAGCAGGAAGCACAGAGUCCUGAAUUCUUUUUUCUUCUUCAUUUUUAAAGGAAAGCAUUAAAUGUUUGAGGUUUAUUUUGA